CAGCACUGUUCGUGACCUGCAGUCUGCCGUGGCGCGCGGGUUCCAUUCCAGUGCGACAGCAAGUCCAGGGGCCCGAGUCUGACUGACCCAUUCGGGCUCUCGGGCUGAGGCCUUGGGGACAGCU
Small nucleolar RNA from Sorex araneus (European shrew), 124 nucleotides. The record is from RefSeq and is a predicted model, not a curated record. NCBI's taxonomy places the organism in Eukaryota, Metazoa, Chordata, Mammalia, Eulipotyphla, Soricidae.